RNAcentral lists this long non-coding RNA (1586 nucleotides) under Anthonomus grandis grandis. Its description in RNAcentral is "uncharacterized LOC126746803". The record is from RNAcentral. Lineage: Eukaryota; Metazoa; Arthropoda; Insecta; Coleoptera; Curculionidae.
AUUUUCGAUCUAAAAAAGUACAUGAUAAUUGUAAAAAAUCGAAAUUUCGAUUUUUCUCAAAAACUAUAAUUUUUUAAAUUUUAAUAAUUAUGUGCAAGGUGCCCCUUUGCGAGGAGUACUUGACAGUUUUUAAAUGAAAGCUCUAUCUUUAAUAACAAAAAAGUUAUGCAAAAUUUUCGAUCUAAAAAAGUACAUGAUAAUUGUAAAAAAUCGAAAUUUCGAUUUUUCUCAAAAACUAUAAUUUUUUAAAUUUUAAUAAUUAUGUGCAAGGUGCCUCUUUGCGAGGAGUACUUGGCAGUUUUUAAAUGAAAGCUCUAUCUUUAAUAACAAAAAAGUUAUGCAAAAUUUUCGAUCUAAAAAAGUACAUGUUAAUUGUAAAAAACCGAAAUUUCGAUUUUUUUCAAAAACUACAAUUUUUUUAGUUUUUGAUUAAUACGUACAAGGUGCCCCUUUGCGAGGAGUACUUGACAGUUUUUAAAUGAAAGCUCUAUCUUUAAUAACAAAAAAGUUAUGCAAAAUUUUCGAUCUAAAAAAGUACAUGAUAAUUGUAAAAAAUCGAAAUUUCGAUUUUUCUCAAAAACUAUAAUUUUUUAAAUUUUAAUAAUUAUGUGCAAGGUGCCCCUUUGCGAGGAGUACUUGGCAGUUUUUAAAUGAAAGCUCUAUCUUUAAUAACAAAAAAGUUAUGCAAAAUUUUCGAUCUAAAAAAGUACAUGUUAAUUGUAAAAAACCGAAAUUUCGAUUUUUUUCAAAAACUACAAUUUUUUUAGUUUUUGAUUAUUACGUACAAGGUGCCCCUUUGCGAGGAGUACUUGACAGUUUUUAAAUGAACGCUCUAUCUUUAAUAACAAAAAAGUUAUGCAAAAUUUUCGAUCUAAAAAAGUACAUGAUAAUUGUAAAAAAUCGAAAUUUCGAUUUUUCUCAAAAACUAUAAUUUUUUAAAUUUUAAUAAUUAUGUGCAAGGUGCCCCUUUGCGAGGAGUACUUGGCAGUUUUUAAAUGAAAGCUCUAUCUUUAAUAACAAAAAAGUUAUGCAAAAUUUUCGAUCUAAAAAAGUACAUGUUAAUUGUAAAAAACCGAAAUUUCGAUUUUUUUCAAAAACUACAAUUUUUUUAGUUUUUGAUUAUUACGUACAAGGUGCCCCUUUGCGAGGAGUACUUGACAGUUUUUAAAUGAACGCUCUAUCUUUAAUAACAAAAAAGUUAUGCAAAAUUUUCGAUCUAAAAAAGUACAUGUUAAUUGUAAAAAACCGAAAUUUCGAUUUUUUUCAAAAACUACAAUUUUUUUAGUUUUUGAUUAUUACGUACAAGGUGCCCCUUUGCGAGGAGUACUUGACAGUUUUUAAAUGAACGCUCUAUCUUUAAUAACAAAAAAGUUAUGCAAAAUUUUCGAUCUAAAAAAGUACAUGUUAAUUGUAAAAAACCGAAAUUUCGAUUUUUUUCAAAAACUACAAUUUUUUUAGUUUUUGAUUAUUACGUACAAGGUGCCCCUUUGCGAGGAGUACUUGACAGUUUUUAAAUGAACGCUCUAUCUUUAAUAACAAAAAAGUUAUGCAAAAUUUUCGAUCUAAAAAAGUACAUGUUAAUUGUA